Molecule: ribosomal RNA, 435 nt
Filed under: uncultured bacterium
Lineage: Bacteria
Description: partial 16S ribosomal RNA
Rfam family: Bacterial small subunit ribosomal RNA
Source: RNAcentral
AGCGAACGCUGGCGGCAGGCUUAUCACAUGCAAGUCGAGCGGGCGUAGCAAUACGUCAGCGGCAGCCGGGUGAGUAACGCGUGGGAACGUACCUUUUGGUUCGGAACAACACAGGGAAACUUGUGCUAAUACCGGAUAAGCCCUUCCGGGGAAAGAUUUAUCGCCGAAAUAUCGGCCCGCGUCUUAUUAGCUAGUUGGUGAGGUUACGGCACACCCAGGCGACGAUCAGUAGCUGGUCUGAGAGGAUGAUCAGCCACAUUGGGACUGAGACACGGCCCAAACUCCGACGGGAGGCAGCAGUAGGGAAUAUUGGACAAUGAGGGCAACCCUGGUCCAGCCAUGCCGCGUGAGUGAGGAAGGCCCUAGGAUUGUAAAGCUCUUUUGUGCGGGAAGAGAAUGACGGUACCGAAAGAAUAAGCCCCGGCUAACUUCGUG